RNAcentral lists this ribosomal RNA (216 nucleotides) under uncultured bacterium. Its description in RNAcentral is "partial 16S ribosomal RNA". It matches the Rfam family "Bacterial small subunit ribosomal RNA", at positions 107 to 334 of the family's 1533-position model. The record is from RNAcentral.
UGAGUAACGCGUAGGAACCUGUCGCAUAGUGGGGGAUAACGCUGGGAAACCGGCGCUAAUACCGCAUGAGGUCAGAGAUGAAGAAAGCGAGCAAUCGCGCUAUGUGAGGGGCCUGCGUCCGAUUAGCUAGUUGGUGGGGUAAAGGCCUACCAAGGCGACGAUCGGUAGCUGGUCUGAGAGGAUGGUCAGCCACACUGGGACUGAGACACGGCCCAG